RNAcentral lists this ribosomal RNA (112 nucleotides) under Paenibacillus apis. The record is from RNAcentral. Lineage: Bacteria; Bacillati; Bacillota; Bacilli; Caryophanales; Paenibacillaceae.
UGGUGACGAUGGCGGAGGGGUUCCACGCGUACCCAUCCCGAACACGACCGUUAAGCCCUCCAGCGCCGAUGGUACUUGGACCGAAGGGUCCUGGGAGAGUAGGAUGUUGCCA